This 483-nucleotide long non-coding RNA is filed under the name Ananas comosus (pineapple). Its description in RNAcentral is "long non-coding RNA (ACOM_LNC044488)". Lineage: Eukaryota; Viridiplantae; Streptophyta; Magnoliopsida; Poales; Bromeliaceae. The record is from RNAcentral.
GUACCCACUGAGGACUACUCCUUUUUGCAGUAGUUCUCACACCCAGUUGUUGACCUCCUUUUGCAGAGCCUUCUUCUGUAGCUGCUGCUGUCGCCGAUUCUGAUCGUGGAAAGGUAGUCGCGAGUUAGAUCCUUUCGUUGGUUGUAGUACUAGAGGAGUACCAUCUACAGGUAGUUUUUGGGUAUUUUGGUUCAUGUACAUACUUAUGCUGGUUUAAUCGCUGGAGCGAGGGAUAUUUGUAUUUUGGAGACUUUGUAUGUAUAGUGAACCUGAUAUUUAUUUAUAUGCUAUUUUUAGUUUAGCAGCUCGUUACCUUUUGGUUGUAGCUUGACUUGUUUAUAGGUACAUCUAUCGCUUCGUAUACAACAAAAAUUUCUAUAUAUACGACGGGUCUGUUGGCGUGUCCGAAAAAACGUGUAAUUCGGGGCGUGACAAUAAUAUAUAUAUAUAUAUAUAUAUAUAUAUAUAUAUAUAUAUAUAUAU